GCUAAGCCCAAACAUCUCCUUGAGGGCCGGACCCUGGUCAGAGAACCCAAUCAGCUUCGCGACAAUGGCAGCACUAUCUAUCACAUGAUUCAGAUCUGUGUCAUUCCAAAGACGAUGAACCAGUUGGUGUCUCCUCCUUUUGGAGUUCAAAUUUAUGCCCCAUUUCUGGUAUAUUUCGUUUCUUUCAGCUCCUGGUAACUUUUUAUAUAUGAGCCGACAGAGCAUACUUCUCUCGCGUCUAAGAGCUUUGAGGCUAGAUGCAAGUGUGAUUGUCUGACCGCCUUGCACAGCUGAAUUUCCAUUUGAAAGUAUUUCCUUGAGGA
RNAcentral lists this unclassified non-coding RNA (323 nucleotides) under Hevea brasiliensis (rubber tree). The record is from RNAcentral. Lineage: Eukaryota; Viridiplantae; Streptophyta; Magnoliopsida; Malpighiales; Euphorbiaceae.